This 403-nucleotide ribosomal RNA is filed under the name bacterium. Its description in RNAcentral is "partial 16S ribosomal RNA". It matches the Rfam family "Bacterial small subunit ribosomal RNA", at positions 355 to 776 of the family's 1533-position model. The record is from RNAcentral.
UGGGGAAUAUUGCACAAUGGGGGAAACCCUGAUGCAGCGACGCCGCGUGAACGAAGAAGGUAUUCGUAUCGUAAAGUUCUGUCCUAUGGGAAGAUAAUGACAGUACCAUAGAAGAAAGCUCCGGCUAAAUACGUGCCAGCAGCCGCGGUAAUACGUAUGGAGCGAGCGUUGUCCGGAAUUAUUGGGCGUAAAGGGUACGCAGGCGGUUUAAUAAGUCGAAUGUUAAAGAUCGGGGCUCAACCCCGUAAAGCAUUGGAAACUGAUUAACUUGAGUAGUGGAGAGGAAAGUGGAAUUCCUAGUGUAGUGGUGAAAUACGUAGAUAUUAGGAGGAAUACCAGUAGCGAAGGCGACUUUCUGGACACAAACUGACGCUGAGGUACGAAAGCGUGGGGAGCAAACAGG